This 700-nucleotide ribosomal RNA is filed under the name uncultured archaeon. RNAcentral describes it as "bacterial SSU rRNA". It matches the Rfam family "Archaeal small subunit ribosomal RNA", at positions 56 to 762 of the family's 1478-position model. The record is from RNAcentral.
AGUCAUUGUAGCAAUACAAGGCAGACGGCUCAGUAACGCGUAGUCAACCUACCUUAUGGACGGGGAUAACCUCGGGAAACUGAGAAUAAUACCCGAUAGAACAUUAUGCCUGGAAUGGUUUAUGUUUCAAAUAAUUUAUUGCCGUAAGAUGGGACUGCGGCCUAUCAGUUUGUUGGUGAGGUAAUGGCCCACCAAGACUAUUACAGGUACGGGCUCUGAGAGGAGUAGCCCGGAGAUGGGUACUGAGACACGGACCCAGGCCCUAUGGGGCGCAGCAGGCGAGAAAACUUUGCAAUGUGCGAAAGCACGACAAGGUUAAUCCGAGUGGUUUCUGCUAAAGGAACCUUUUGUCAGUCCUAGAAACACUAACGAAUAAGGGGUGGGCAAGUUCUGGUGUCAGCCGCCGCGGUAAAACCAGCACCUCAAGUGGUCAGGAUGAUUAUUGGGCCUAAAGCAUCCGUAGCCUGGUUUGCCAGUUUUCGGUUAAAUCCAUACGCUCAACGUAUGGGCUGCCGGGAAUACUACAAAGCUAGGGAGUGGGAGAGGUAGACGGUACUCGGUAGGAAGGGGUAAAAUCCUUUGAUCUAUUGAUGACCACCUGUGGCGAAGGCGGUCUACCAGAACACGUCCGACGGUGAGGGAUGAAAGCUGGGGGAGCAAACCGGAUUAGAUACCCGGGUAGUCCCAGCUGUAAACUAUG